RNAcentral lists this ribosomal RNA (464 nucleotides) under uncultured bacterium. RNAcentral describes it as "partial 16S ribosomal RNA". It matches the Rfam family "Bacterial small subunit ribosomal RNA", at positions 339 to 795 of the family's 1533-position model. The record is from RNAcentral.
CUACGGGGCGCUCCAGUGGGGAAUAUUGCACAAUGGGCGUAAGCCUGAUGCAGCCAUGCCGCGUGUAUGAAGAAGGCCUUCGGGUUGUAAAGUACUUUCAGCGGGGAGGAAGGGAGUAAAGUUAAUACCUUUGCUCAUUGACGUUACCCGCAGAAGAAGCACCGGCUAACUCCGUGCCAGCAGCCGCGGUAAUUCGGAGGGUGCAAGCGUUAAUCGGAAUUACUGGGCGUAAAGCGCACGCAGGCGGUUUGUUAAGUCAGAUGUGAAAUCCCCGGGCUCAACCUGGGAACUGCAUCUGAUACGGGCAAGCUUGAGUCUCGUAGAGGGGGGUAGAAUUCCAGGUGUAGCGGUGAAAUGCGUAGAGAUCUGGAGGAAUACCGGUGGCGAAGGCGGCCCCCUGGACGAAGACUGACGCUCAGGUGCGAAAGCGUGGGGAGCAAACAGGAUUAGAUACCCGAGUAGUC